Molecule: ribosomal RNA, 249 nt
Filed under: uncultured bacterium
Lineage: Bacteria
Description: partial 16S ribosomal RNA
Rfam family: Bacterial small subunit ribosomal RNA
Source: RNAcentral
UACGAAGGGGGCUAGCGUUGCUCGGAAUCACUGGGCGUAAAGGGUGCGUAGGCGGGUCUUUAAGUCAGGGGUGAAAUCCUGGAGCUCAACUCCAGAACUGCCUUUGAUACUGAAGAUCUUGAGUUCGGGAGAGGUGAGUGGAACUGCGAGUGUAGAGGUGAAAUUCGUAGAUAUUCGCAAGAACACCAGUGGCGAAGGCGGCUCACUGGCCCGGUACUGACGCUGAGGUGCGAAAGCGUGGGGAGCAAA